AGAGUUUGAUCCUGGCUCAGAUUGAACGCUGGCGGCGUGCUUAACACAUGCAAGUCGUGCGAGAAAGGGGACUUCGGUCCCUGAGUAGAGCGGCGCACGGGUGAGUAACGCGUGGAUAAUCUCCCCAGAAGUUCGGGAUAACGGCGGGAAACUGCCGCUAAUACCGGAUACGCUCCAAUUUCGGUUGGGGGAAAGGCGGCCUCUGUUUACAAGCUGUCGCUUCUGGAUGAGUCCGCGUCCCAUUAGCUUGUUGGUGGGGUAAUGGCCUACCAAGGCUACGAUGGGUAGCUGGUCUGAGAGGAUGAUCAGCCACACUGGAACUGAAACACGGUCCAGACUCCUACGGGAGGCAGCAGUGGGGAAUAUUGCGCAAUGGGGGAAACCCUGACGCAGCGACGCCGUGUGAGGGAUGAAGGCUUU
RNAcentral lists this ribosomal RNA (420 nucleotides) under uncultured bacterium. Its description in RNAcentral is "bacterial SSU rRNA". It matches the Rfam family "Bacterial small subunit ribosomal RNA", at positions 8 to 418 of the family's 1533-position model. The record is from RNAcentral.